UACGGAGGGGGCUAGCGUUGUUCGGAAUUACUGGGCGUAAAGCGCGCGUAGGCGGCUUUGUAAGUUAGAGGUGAAAGCCCAGGGCUUAACCCUGGAAUUGCCUUUAAGACUGCAUCGCUAGAAUCGUGGAGAGGUGAGUGGAAUUCCCAGUGUAGCGGUGAAAUGCGUAGAUAUUGGGAGGAACACCAGUGGCGAAGGCGGCUCACUGGACCGGUACUGACGCUGAAGCGCGAAAGCGUGGGGAGCAAACGGG
Molecule: ribosomal RNA, 253 nt
Filed under: uncultured bacterium
Lineage: Bacteria
Description: partial 16S ribosomal RNA
Rfam family: Bacterial small subunit ribosomal RNA
Source: RNAcentral